CCUACGGGAGGCAGCAGUAGGGAAUAUUGCUCAAUGGGGGAAACCCUGAAGCAGCAACGCCGCGUGGAGGAUGAAGGUUUUCGGAUUGUAAACUCCUUUUGUUAGAGAAGAUAAUGACGGUAUCUAACGAAUAAGCACCGGCUAACUCCGUGCCAGCAGCCGCGGUAAUACGGAGGGUGCAAGCGUUACUCGGAAUCACUGGGCGUAAAGGGCGCGUAGGUGGGAUAGCAAGUCAGAUGUGAAAUCCUAUGGCUUAACCAUAGAACUGCAUUUGAAACUGUUAUUCUAGAGUAUGGGAGAGGUAGGUGGAAUUCGUGGUGUAGGGGUAAAAUCCGUAGAGAUCAAGAGGAAUACUCAUUGCGAAGGCGACCUGCUAGAACAUAACUGACGCUGAUGCGCGAAAGCGUGGGGAGCAAACAGGAUUAGAUAACCGGGUAGUC
RNAcentral lists this ribosomal RNA (440 nucleotides) under uncultured bacterium. Its description in RNAcentral is "partial 16S ribosomal RNA". It matches the Rfam family "Bacterial small subunit ribosomal RNA", at positions 338 to 795 of the family's 1533-position model. The record is from RNAcentral.